RNAcentral lists this long non-coding RNA (220 nucleotides) under Elaeis guineensis (African oil palm). Its description in RNAcentral is "long non-coding RNA (EGUI_LNC058410)". The record is from RNAcentral. Lineage: Eukaryota; Viridiplantae; Streptophyta; Magnoliopsida; Arecales; Arecaceae.
UGGCGGAGACCUUCUUCGCCUUCUUCUUAGAGAUCCAGCCAAGAGUUCAACUUUUUCUUAGAACCCUUCUUGCUUUUCUUCUUAUUGAUCUUAUCAAUAAGAAGAACUGGAGCCUUUUCACCUUUGAAAUGGCUCUCUACUAUUUUGAGCAUAUUUAAUAGUUCAGACAGGCUGAUAUUCAGUUUGUUCAUAUGAUAGUUAAUGACAAACUGAGAGAAGG